Anser brachyrhynchus (Pink-footed goose) is the source of this 1627-nucleotide long non-coding RNA. The record is from Ensembl. NCBI's taxonomy places the organism in Eukaryota, Metazoa, Chordata, Aves, Anseriformes, Anatidae.
UGCACCUGUACAAGCCUUUGCAUUCUCUUGGGUGAAGAGUGGGAGUUUCUAGGGAUGUAUAUUGGGGUGCAUUCCCCUUGACAGAGGGGAAGGCCCUGAGCCCUGCCAGGAAGCUUUGCCUUGCCAUUCAACAGGAACAGUGUGGUUGUGACUUGUCCUCACUUCAGCCAUCUUGCAGAGCAAUGCCUUAACUGCCAGACUGUGAAGAGACCUUUCCAGGGUCAUGUUUUUAAAUGAAUUUGCUUCUUUUUACAAAAGCACUAAAGUUGCUUUGGAACAGAGGAGAAGGGACAUGAGGAUCCUUUUAGUCCUUUCCACAUUUCUGAAGACCGUGAAACUCCAGAAGCAGCAAGAAUUUCUAUCAGAGAUUGUGACCACCUUUACUUUGCUGAAGGUAUAAAAUGGAAAAGAUCACUGUGACUGGCCAGAUCUUAUCAGCUCUGGAAAAAAGCUCAGGUCAAGAACAGCUCUUGAGGAAAACAAAAUGAAAGACCAACAUUUAGAAACAAUUGGAACAAUUCAGCUUCCCCUACAUAUGCGAAUUUCAGCUUUUUUUGUUGGUGGUGGUUUUUUUUGUUGUUGUUUUUAAAUACAUUUAGAGGCUGCAGGGAACAAUUAUGAUCAUCCUGGCUGAACUCCUGCAUAACCCAAACUACACAAUUUCACCCAGGGACUCUUACACAUAAUGUAACAGCUUGUGAUUGAAUUACUAGAGCAUGCUGAAUUGCAGAAAGUUCUUACGUGGAAACAAGUUGUUCUUUAGAAGUUCACUUUCUGUUGCACUACAAGCUUCAUAUCUGUAGUAACAUAAUGGUCUUUAUCAGGAGUUUGCUGUGAUCUUGUUUUAAGAUGAUUACAACUCUAGGUGAGCUAUGAGAAAGCAAAUAAGCAUUGAUUUAAGCCCACAUGGUUGAGAUUUAAAAAAACUUACAAAAAUGCUUCUUGGAUCCUAUUACUUACAGAGAGUGCUCAGAGGACACUGCAGAACUCUUUCUUUAGAUGAACGAUGUCUCAGGUAAGUGCCCUACAAACUAUUGUCUGUAGAGAGUACAGACUUUCUCCACAGAGUACCCCAUUUUAUUUUCUAGCAGAGUGAAGAGUAAGAGGAAUAGGUUGCGCAAAAUAGAUUUGCUUACUCUCUGUUUUUAAUUUAUUUAUUUUUUCUCCUUAAGAUAAGCCAUUUAUUGUAAUUGCUUUUGUAGUAAACUACUGCCGAAAUUAAAAAAAAAAAAAAAAGUCUAUUAUGUUUCAUUGGUACUGCCAAUUAUUGCUCAACUCUUUCCACUAGAAAAGUGCAAUGGUAGUGGAUCUGUGUUAGAACUGAUAUUCAGGAAUCAUCCCUGUCCAGUAAACAGAGAGCAUCUGUGCCAAAAGCCCAGAAUAUACAGCUUAAAAUAAGAACUGGGCUAAUACAGUGCCAUUGUAAUCCACAAAAAGAUUCAUACUAACUGUAGCAAACAGUGUGUCAGGAUGGAAAUUUGACAAGUUUAAAAUUAAACUGGUCAAACAAGCAUAUCAGCUCAGUUUGAGACUGGGUCCUAUGCAUCCAAACCUGUGAAGUAUUGAAACCUGGUAAUGUACUGUAUUUCUAAGAUGCCUUGAAAAUAAAAAGAUUAGGAUUUCAGCA